UCUCAUUCCUCUAUACUGGGGCAUUGAUCCUUCACAGGACCAAGGGCCUCUCCUCCGAUUGAUGCCUGACAAGGUCAUUCUCUGCUAUAUAGGUGGCUGAAGCCAUGAUUCCCUCCAUGUUUACUCUCCGGUUGGUGGUUUAGUCCCUGGGAGCUCUGGGGGGAGGUCUGGUUGUUUGAUAUUGUUGUUCUUCCUAUGGGUUUAUCACAUUGGAGUUAUUCAGUAUAGAAAUAUGAUUCAUAGAUAUUUUCAAAACACAGCACACAGAGGUUCCCAACUUGAUCACUAGAUUUGAAAACAUCUAAAAGUGUCUCUAUCUACUGUGUUUAUAAAUUAAAAUUUGCCAACAAUUUGUUUU
This 358-nucleotide long non-coding RNA is filed under the name Mus musculus (house mouse). Its description in RNAcentral is "long non-coding RNA chr8:104969168-104969526". The record is from RNAcentral. Lineage: Eukaryota; Metazoa; Chordata; Mammalia; Rodentia; Muridae.